This 492-nucleotide ribosomal RNA is filed under the name uncultured bacterium. Its description in RNAcentral is "partial 16S ribosomal RNA". It matches the Rfam family "Bacterial small subunit ribosomal RNA", at positions 29 to 507 of the family's 1533-position model. The record is from RNAcentral.
AGUGAACGCUGGCGGUAGGCCUAACACAUGCAAGUCGAACGGCAGCACAGUAAGAGCUUGCUCUUACGGGUGGCGAGUGGCGGACGGGUGAGGAAUACAUCGGAAUCUACUUUUUCGUGGGGGAUAACGUAGGGAAACUUACGCUAAUACCGCAUACGACCUACGGGUGAAAGCAGGGGAUCUUCGGACCUUGCGCGAUUGAAUGAGCCGAUGUCGGAUUAUCUAGUUGGCGGGGUAAAGGCCCACCAAGGCGACGAUCCGUAGCUGGUCUGAGAGGAUGAUCAGCCACACUGGAACUGAGACACGGUCCAGACUCCUACGGGAGGCAGCAGUGGGGAAUAUUGGACAAUGGGCGCAAGCCUGCUCCAGCCAUACCGCGUGGGUGAAGAAGGCCUUCGGGUUGUAAAGCCCUUUUGUUGGGAAAGAAAAGCAGCAGGUUAAUACCCCGCUGUUCUGACGGUACCCAAAGAAUAAGCACCGGCUAACUUCGUG